Molecule: ribosomal RNA, 255 nt
Filed under: uncultured bacterium
Lineage: Bacteria
Description: partial 16S ribosomal RNA
Rfam family: Bacterial small subunit ribosomal RNA
Source: RNAcentral
UACGUAGGACCCAAGCGUUAUCCGGAGUGACUGGGCGUAAAGAGUUGCGUAGGCGGCUUUGUAAGUGGAUAGUGAAACCUGGUGGCUCAACCAUUCAGACUAUUAUCCAAACUGCAAAGCUCGAGAGUGGUAGAGGUAGCUGGAAUUUCUAGUGUAGGAGUGAAAUCCGUAGAUAUUAGAAGGAACACCAAUGGCGUAGGCAGGCUACUGGACCAUUUCUGACGCUAAGGCACGAAAGCGUGGGGAGCGAACCGG